This 591-nucleotide ribosomal RNA is filed under the name uncultured bacterium. RNAcentral's name for it is "bacterial SSU rRNA". It matches the Rfam family "Bacterial small subunit ribosomal RNA", at positions 35 to 612 of the family's 1533-position model. The record is from RNAcentral.
GUAACGGCAGGCCUAACACAUGCAAGUCGAACGGUAACAGGAAGCAGCUUGCUGCUUUGCUGACGAGUGGCGGACGGGUGAGUAAUGUCUGGGAAACUGCCUGAUGGAGGGGGAUAACUACUGGAAACGGUAGCUAAUACCGCAUAACGUACGCAAGACCAAAGAGGGGGACCUUCGGGCCUCUUGCCAUCGGAUGUGCCCAGAUGGGAUUAGCUAGUAGGUGGGGUAACGGCUCACCUAGGCGACGAUCCCUAGCUGGUCUGAGAGGAUGACCAGCCACACUGGAACUGAGACACGGUCCAGACUCCUACGGGAGGCAGCAGUGGGGAAUAUUGCACAAUGGGCGCAAGCCUGAUGCAGCCAUGCCGCGUGUAUGAAGAAGGCCUUACGGGUUGUAAAGUACUUUCAGCGGGGAGGAAGGUGUUGAGGUUAAUAACCUCAGCGAUUGACGUUACCCGCAGAAGAAGCACCGGCUAACUCCGUGCCAGCAGCCGCGGUUAAUACGGAGGGUGCAGCGUUAAUCGGAAUUACUGGGCGUAAAGCGCACGCAGGCGGGCUGUCNCAGUCGGAUGUGAAUUCCCGGGGCUUCAA